GAUGAACGCUGGCGGCGUGCCUAAUACAUGCAAGUCGAGCGAACAGACGAGGAGCUUGCUCCUCUGAUGUUAGCGGCGGACGGGUGAGUAACGCGUGGAUAACCUACCUAUAAGACUGGGAUAACUUCGGGAAACCGGAGCUAAUACCGGAUAACAUGUUGAACCGCAUGGUUCAACAGUGAAAGACGGUCUUGCUGUCACUUAUAGAUGGAUCCGCGCCGCAUUAGCUAGUUGGUAAGGUAACGGCUUACCAAGGCAACGAUGCGUAGCCGACCUGAGAGGGUGAUCGGCCACACUGGAACUGAGACACGGUCCAGACUCCUACGGGAGGCAGCAGUAGGGAAUCUUCCGCAAUGGGCGAAAGCAUGACGGAGCAACGCCGCGUGAGUGAAGAAGGUCUUCGGAUCGUAAAACUCUGUUAUUAGGGAAGAACAAAUGUGUAAGUAACUAUGCACGUCUUGACGGUACCUAAUCAGAAAGCCACGGCUAACUACGUG
RNAcentral lists this ribosomal RNA (497 nucleotides) under uncultured bacterium. RNAcentral's name for it is "partial 16S ribosomal RNA". It matches the Rfam family "Bacterial small subunit ribosomal RNA", at positions 28 to 507 of the family's 1533-position model. The record is from RNAcentral.